Molecule: ribosomal RNA, 253 nt
Filed under: uncultured bacterium
Lineage: Bacteria
Description: partial 16S ribosomal RNA
Rfam family: Bacterial small subunit ribosomal RNA
Source: RNAcentral
UACGUAGGGUCCGAGCGUUGUCCGGAAUUAUUGGGCGUAAAGAGCUCGUAGGCGGUCUGUCGCGUCGGAUGUGAAAACCCGGGGCUUAACCCCGGGCCUGCAUUCGAUACGGGCAGACUCGAGUGUGGUAGGGGAGACUGGAACUCCUGGUGUAGCGGUGAAAUGCGCAGAUAUCAGGAAGAACACCGGUGGCGAAGGCGGGUCUCUGGGCCACUACUGACGCUGAGACGCGAAAGCGUGGGGAGCAAACAGG